AUUGAACGCUGGCGGCAGGCCUAACACAUGCAAGUCGAGCGGAGCGGCGGACGGGUGAGUAAUGCCUAGGAAUCUGCCUGGUAGUGGGGGAUAACGUCCGGGAACGGGCGCUAAUACCGCACACUAUCAGAUGAGCCCUGGUCGGAGUAGCUAGGUGGUGGGGUAAAGGCCUACCAAUGCGACGAACCGUAACUGGUCUGAGAGGAUGAUCAGUCACACUGGAACUGAGACACGGUCCAGACUCCUACGGGAGGCAGCAGGGGGGAAGAUUGGGCAAUGGGCGAAAGCCUGAAGCAGCCAUGCCGCGUGUGUGAAGAAGGUCUUCGGAUUGUAAAGCACUUUAAGUUGGGAGGCGUUACCAACAGAAUAAGCACCGGCUAACUUCGAGCCAGCAGCCGCGGUAAUUC
This 407-nucleotide ribosomal RNA is filed under the name uncultured bacterium. Its description in RNAcentral is "partial 16S ribosomal RNA". It matches the Rfam family "Bacterial small subunit ribosomal RNA", at positions 30 to 526 of the family's 1533-position model. The record is from RNAcentral.